GACGAACGCUGGCGGCGUGCUUAACACAUGCAAGUCGAACGGAAAGGCCCUGCUUUUGUGGGGUGCUCGAGUGGCGAACGGGUGAGUAACACGUGAGUAACCUGCCCUUGACUUUGGGAUAACUUCAGGAAACUGGGGCUAAUACCGGAUAGGAGCUCCUGCUGCAUGGUGGGGGUUGGAAAGUUUCGGCGGUUGGGGAUGGACUCGCGGCUUAUCCGCUUGUUGGUGGGGUAGUGGCUUACCAAGGCUUUGACGGGUAGCCGGCCUGAGAGGGUGACCGGCGACAUUGGGACUGAGGGACGGCCCAGACUCCUACGGGAGGCAGCAGUGGGGAGUAUUGCACAAUGGGCGGAAGCCUGAUGCAGCAACGCCGCGUGCGGGAUGACGGCCUUCGGGUUGUAAACCGCUUUCGCCUGUGACGAAGCGUGAGUGACGGUAAUGGGUAAAGAAGCACCGGCUAACUACGUG
RNAcentral lists this ribosomal RNA (468 nucleotides) under uncultured bacterium. RNAcentral's name for it is "partial 16S ribosomal RNA". It matches the Rfam family "Bacterial small subunit ribosomal RNA", at positions 28 to 507 of the family's 1533-position model. The record is from RNAcentral.